GGAGGUACAGCUCAGUAGUAGAGCACAUGCUUAGCAUGCAUGGGGUCCUGGGUUCAAUCCCCAGUACUGCCA
This 72-nucleotide transfer RNA is filed under the name Camelus bactrianus (Bactrian camel). It matches the Rfam family "tRNA". Rfam says of the family: Transfer RNA (tRNA) molecules are approximately 80 nucleotides in length. Their secondary structure includes four short double-helical elements and three loops (D, anti-codon, and T loops). RNAcentral also lists the same sequence under 2 other names. Lineage: Eukaryota; Metazoa; Chordata; Mammalia; Artiodactyla; Camelidae. The record is from Rfam by way of RNAcentral.